UACGGAGGGAGCUAGCGUUGUUCGGAAUUACUGGGCGUAAAGCGCGCGUAGGCGGACCUGCAAGUCGGGGGUGAAAGCCCGAGGCUCAACCUCGGAACUGCCUUCGAUACUGCGGUCUCGAGUCCGGGAGAGGUGAGUGGAAUUCCUAGUGUAGAGGUGAAAUUCGUAGAUAUUAGGAAGAACACCAGUGGCGAAGGCGGCUAC
RNAcentral lists this ribosomal RNA (204 nucleotides) under uncultured bacterium. Its description in RNAcentral is "partial 16S ribosomal RNA". It matches the Rfam family "Bacterial small subunit ribosomal RNA", at positions 524 to 729 of the family's 1533-position model. The record is from RNAcentral.